GCAGCACGGAGCUUGCUCUGGUGGCGAGUGGCGAACGGGUGAGUAAUGCGUCGGAACGUAUCCAAUAAUGGGGGAUAACGCAGCGAAAGCUGUGCUAAUACCGCAUACGCCCUCCGGGGGAAAGCAGGGGAUCUUAGGACCUUGCGUUAAUGGAGCGGCCGACGUCUGAUUAGCUAGUUGGUAGGGUAAAGGCCUACCAAGGCGACGAUCAGUAGCUGGUCUGAGAGGAUGAUCAGCCACACUGGGACUGAGACACGGCCCAGACUCCUACGGGAGGCAGCAGUGGGGAAUUUUGGACAAUGGGCGCAAGCCUGAUCCAGCCAUUCCGCGUGAGUGAAGAAGGCCUUCGGGUUGUAAAGCUCUUUCAGGAGGGAAGAAACGAUUGUGGCUAAUACCCAUGAUUAAUGACGGUACCUUCAGAAGAAGCACCGGCUAACUACGUGCCAGCAGCCGCGGUAAUACGUAGGGUGCGAGCGUUAAUCGGAAUUACUGGGCGUAAAGCGUGCGCAGGCGGUUUUUCAAGUCUGAUGUGAAAUCCCCGGGCUUAACCUGGGAACUGCGUUGGAAACUGAAAGACUAGAGUGCGGCAGAGGGGGGUAGAAUUCCACGUGUAGCAGUGAAAUGCGUAGAUAUGUGGAGGAAUACCGAUGGCGAAGGCAGCCCCCUGGGUCGACACUGACGCUCAUGCACGAAAGCGUGGGUAGCAAACAGGAUUAGAUACCCUGGUAGUCCACGCCCUAAACGAUGUCAACUAGUUGUUGGGGANGGAGACCUCCUUAGUAACGCAGCUAACGCGUGAAGUUGACCGCCUGGGGAGUACGGUCGCAAGAUUAAAACUCAAAGGAAUUGACGGGGGCCCGCACAAGCGGNGGNUUAUGUGGAUUAAUUCGAUGCAACGCGAAAAACCUUACCUACCCNUGACA
Molecule: ribosomal RNA, 923 nt
Filed under: uncultured bacterium
Lineage: Bacteria
Description: bacterial SSU rRNA
Rfam family: Bacterial small subunit ribosomal RNA
Source: RNAcentral